CUCCAAGUGCUAUAAAGAAUUCCAAAAGCAACAAGAGCAAGCAAUAGAAGCAUCAACUUCCUCCAUAGCUCGCCCCUCUUUGAAUGAUGAAACUAUUGCUGGUUCAACUGAUCAGACUGCCUCAAACCGCCGAACGAAUCGGUGCAACAGCUGCAACAAGCGGCUAGGAUUGAUGGGGUUCAACUGCCGCUGUGGAAAUGCAUUUUGCAGGUCGCAUCGACACCCUGAAGACCACGCAUGUACUGUUGAUUUCAAGGGGCUUGGCCAUGAGCUUUUGAUCAAACAAAAUCCACUUUGUAAGGCUGACAAAUUGGAGGAUAGGAUCUAGUUUGCACGACAGGAUAUAGAUGAAAGGAUAAUUUACAGUUUAGUACAUGAUAUUUAGCAAAACUCAUAAUUUAGUAUUUAUUUUUUUAUUAGUAAACAAUUUAUUCUCCAAGUUUUAUUUUAUUAAUAAAAAAUUUUUUAAAAAAAGUUAUUAUUAGUCAACUCUUAAUUAUUAAAACUAGGAGUUUAAUUGUUAUAAAAAAUAAAAUUUGAAGAUUAUAUUGUUAUAACCUAAUAAUGAAUUUUAAUAGGGUGAAUAUUUUAUUAAUAGAAUAAAAUUUUAAAAAUUAAAUUAUUUCUCAUUAAAAUAUUAGAAAUUAAGUUGUAGUUGAUUAAAAAAAUUAAUGAAUGAAUAUUUUUAUUUGUUAAUGAUUGGAACAUAUGAAAGGAAUUCAAAAUAAUAAAUUAUAACCAACAUAAGUGAAAUUAAUAAGUUAAAAUGAAUUUUAAUCAUUUAAAAAAUAUAAUAAAAAGUGCCAAAUAUAAUUGGAAACAAGUCAAAUUUAAAUUGUAAAAAAUGUGCAAAAUCUUUUACCCAAAUUUAUAAUUAAUUUUGGAUCACAUAUUUCAAUCUUGAAGAUUACAAGCACUUGUAUACGUAUUUCAAAAUUAUUUGUAGCAAAAUACAAAUUUUAGAUAUUAAACUAUUACUUGGAUUUAUUUGUCUAUCCAUAAUAAAAUACAUUGACUAUCACUCAAUUUUGUAAAAAUUUAAUUAUAUUAAUUUUUUCAAUAAUUUUUUAUUUAAAAUGAAAAAAAAUUAUUUUUUAAUUUAAAAAAUUAAUUUUUAAAAUAAUUAAAAUCAUGUAUAUUUUUCAAGAAUUUAUUUAUUUAUUUAGUAUUAUGCUACAAGCUCUAAAUGCUUAUUCAAUUAUAUCUAAAAGUUUUAAACACUUUUGUUAACUAAUUUUUGAAAUGAGUUAAAUCUUAUCUAAAUUUAAUAUGAUAUCAGACAGAAUACUAUAUUAUUUGUAAUUAAUAAUAAUUAUGAGAGAAAAUUGAAAAAAGAAGAGCAUACUCAUGUGCAUCGACGCUCUUGCGCUUAGGGGUGAGCAUUCGGUCGGUUCGGUUUUAAACCGAACCGAACCGAAUAAAUCAAAAAUCAAAAUUUUAGUGUUUAUAAAAAUCGAACUAAACUGAUUUUGGUUAGAAACUGAAUCGAAUUGAACCGGUAUGAUUCGGUUCGAUUCGGUUCGAUUUGAUCGGUUUCGAUUUUUAAUAAUUUUUUUUAUUUUUUACACUUUAUUUUUAAUAUUUUAAAAUAUUUUAAUGUUAAUAUGAUUUAAUUUAUCUAUAUUAUUAAAAAAAUAUAUUAUUAUCACUGAUCGGUUCGGUUCGAUUUUUUCGAUUUUUUCUGAUCAAAAUAGAACCGAACCGAAAUAACCGAAAUUUCUAAAAUUAAAAAUCGAAUUAAACUGAAAUAUAUAAAAAAUCGAAUUAAAUUUUCAAAUCGAUUCGAUUCGAUCAAUUUUUUCAGUUUAAACCGAAUACUGCGCACCCCUAGUUGCGGUCACAAGCAUAGCAAGCGAAAGGAGCAAGAGAGAGGAACAAUUUUGUUUGAACAUAUAAGUUACGAUGGAGUUACUUUGUAAAGUAAAAUAGACAUCACUUGAGCAUUAGAGGGAGAGGGUGCUGAAGCUAAUUACUCCAUCAAAUGAUCAAAUUUUUUUCUCUUUUAUUAUUUAGAUUUCAACAUUUAAAUCCCUUAUAUUUUUUUAUUAUAUAAAUUUUAAUAUUUAAAUAUUUAUAAUAUUAUUUAUUAUUUAAAUACUAAUUACUCCAUCCAUUUUAUGUUUUUUAUCUGUUCUUUUUAAAUUAUUUUAAAAUUAUUAUUUAUUUUUCUUUUUUAGGUUAUUUCAAAAUUAUUAUUUACUUUUUUUAACUAUAAUAAUAUAUAAAUGGACCAUUAUAAUUCUAUUUAAUUUUAUUUCUAAAAAGUUUCUUAAAAUAUCUCUUAAUAUUUAAUAAAAUUUAAUGUAUUUAAAAUGAAUAUAAUUAAAAAGUUAAUAAAAAAAUUAUAUUUUUUAAAACGUAUAAAAAACAAAAUAAACAAAAAUUAUAGGACGAAAAAAGUAUAAAAUUUUUAUUAAUUAUAUAAAGUGCAUUUAAUAUAAGAUCAACAAUAUAAUACUGAAUUCAAUAAUCGUUUAAAUAUUUAUGUUAAAUUUUAUAUGAAAUUAAUUGAAAUGUAUAUAAUAAAUAUUUAAAUUCAUAUAUAAAUAAUCUAUAUAAGUAAUGGAGUGAAAAUUUUUUUAUUUAAAUUAUAUAAUUUUAAUUAAACCUGUGUAAUUUUAUUAUUGAUACAAUAAAUAUUUUUAUACAAAAUUUAUUAAUAUAUUAUCAUUUGAUUAUUCAUAUAUUUAUUAUUUAUUUUUAUUUAAAUAUAUAAUUUAUAUUAAAUUAUUUUAUAUUAUACGAAAAAUAUUAUACAUAUAUAAUGUUAUAGAACAAUCGUAUAAAGUGAGACCGUGAGCUGUAACUACGAGAUAGGAUCACGUGGUAAGGACUAUAUAUAUAGGACAAGCGGACCAUCUCAAGAAAGGAAGAUCCGAACACCAUAAUAUCCGAUCAUUAUUCAAACUUGCAUGUUCCUAAUAGAGAGAAUCUUUGCGCUAAAAUUACCGUUAAUGAGCACAGUUUAGAGUACUUUUAUUAUGCAUGUAAUCACGAGAUCACCAAUCUAUUAGGCAGCAACAUCCCUUAUCGAGCAAAAAUUACUAGGAGAUGCCAUAUUUAUCUUCAUCUUCUUAUAGUAUAAAAAAAGAAGAAGAAUAAAGACAAAUAUACGUUAUUCUCUUAUAUUAAAGUUUUAAACAAUUCAUUUCAUUUUCUCUACUCGUUGAUACUGACUUAGCAUUGGUGUGGCUGCUAUGGGCACCUACUACCAUUCACGUUUUCUUCUUUGUAGGUUCUAGCCAAUCACAGUGCAGUUCCGCUCCGGCCAUGUCAUCAAUCUAAUCUUAACAACACCAUUUAGUUCCAUUGUUGAGAAUCUAUUUAAUUCCUCUUGUUUGUUUGGAAUAUUACGAUUGGUCUCUUAUUCUCUUCCUUAUAGAAAGAAAUCUGUCUCUUUUCUCUCUCAAGAUGCCCGAUAGUUUGCGAGCUGCUGCUAAUAUUACUACCAAUGAGGGAGUCAUCAUUUCUUCUGCUCUUGACAACAGAGAGAACACACCCCCCAGUGGUCAAUGAAGCAGACCUCAAUAAUUUAAUCAAUGAACAGAUACUCCAGUACAUCCAAAGGUUGCAGGCUACUUUUAGGCAGUAUAAUGCUCAGGAAGAUGCAUAAAAAAUGGAUCACGAAAGAAGGGAGGAAGCCUCUAUGGUCAAAAUGCAACUCAAGGAAAAAGCCAAGUCCAAAGAUGAAUCAGAUGAAGCUCCAAAAAGCGUUGAUUGGAAGCUAGUACGGGCCGUGCAAAGAUACCAAAAGGAACAAGAAGAGGAUUUUAGCCUAGACGGUAUUUUGCCUCUUUCGAAAGAAAUCUUAGCAGAAACCUUUCUCACCAAGUUCAAGUUGCCUAGCUUGGACAAAUAUGAUAGAAUGACAGAACUCAGGAGCUACCUAGCAAUCUUCAGGAUGACCAUGCAGCUUCAGGAUGUAAACGAUUUUGUGUUCUGUCGGGUCUUUCCAUCAACACUCACAAGUUUGACUCAGAAAUGGUACCAAAAUCUGAGCCCAGAUUCAAUUCAAAACUUUAUACAGUUUGUCGCAUUAUUUAGAUCCAGAUUUAUUACUUGCAUACCUCCCAAAAAACUUUCCUCUGACUUGCGGAAGAUCCAUCAAGAAGAAGGUGAGUCUUUAAGGAGUUUUAUCUCAAGUUUCAAUGCUAAAGCCAUAUAGGUGGAAGAGUUUAAUCAUGAGAUAGCAUGUGAAGAAUUGAAGAAAGGAAUCCGCAAUAUCAAAUUCAUGGAUUUCUUAAUUAAAAAUCCAGCCGCAAUGUAUCAACAGUUGAUAAACAAAGCCCAAAAAUAUAUCAGGCUAGAUGAAAAAAAUCAGGUAUUAAAAGAAGAUAAGAGGGCAAAUCAAAAAGUCCGAGAGACACAAAUAUGAAAGAGAUCAUAGGAGUUACCCCAUCUCGCAAAAGAUGGAUGAUCAAAGUAAGUAUAAGAAUUACACUCUAUUAAGUGACUCACAUACUCAUAUUUUGAUGUGGAUUAGAAAAUAUGACAAUGAAAUCAUGUGGCCGCCCAAGCUCAACCCUGAGAAAGUGGAGAAACAAGACAGGACAAAGUAAUGUUGAUUCCAUGAAGAUUAUGAUCAUACAACAGAAAAGUGCUGACAACUAAAGGAUGAGACUGAAAGGCUGAUAAGAAAAAAAAACCCUUCGAAAAUUCACAAGGAAGGGAAGGGAAGAAAAGAGAUCUGAGCUUGAGGAACCAACCCCCGAUCGAGAACUUGUAGGGGUCAUACAUGUAGUAAUGGAAUCACUUAGGGGUGGUUAGGAAAAGUAAAUAAAUUGCCGGAUUGGUAAGAAAACUUUUUAAGUCCCGAAGGUCAUUCGCCUAGAAAUUUUACAAGUUAGAUAGUUUAGGGAGCUGAGUGGUCCCCACUCUCGAUAUAUUUGUAAUAUAUUCCUUUUUAAUAAUAAAGUUAACGAGAUAUUUUCAUAUGUUGUGUUCUUCAGUGAUAAGGAACGAUGAGAUUGCCUUUCUCAAAAAAGGAAAAAAGAGAUAAGAAAAGGCUAUAAGGCAGAUUCUGCUAGACCAUCCGGGCUUUUGUCCCACCAUACAAGGCCACAAGACGGGUUCCCCCAGGCCAGGUCACAAGGCGAGUUCUGCCAGACCAUCCGGGUGCUGGUCCCACUAUAUAAGGCCACAAGGCAAGUUCUAUCAAGUACAAUCACAAGGUGGGUUCUACCAGGCUAGGUCACAUGGCGGGUUCCGCCAGACCAUUCGAGCGUUGGUCCCACCAUACAAGGCCAUAAGGCGGAUUCCACUAGGCUAGGUCACAAGACAGGUUUCGUCAGGCCAUCCAAGUGUUGGUUUUACUAUACAAGGCCACAAGGCGAGUUUCACUAGACCAUUCAGGCGUUGGUCCCGUAAAACCACAAGGUGAGUUCUGCCAGGUAGGGUCAUAAGGUGGGUUCUACCAGACUAUCCAAACACUGGUCCCGUUAAUCCAAAGCAAUUACAAAAGGCCAUAGGGCGAGUCUCGACCAGUUUAAUAAAUCUUAAGGCAUGUCCAAGGCCAUAGGGAAGGUAUAGAUCAGGCCUAAAAAAGUGGGUGGAGGCCCCACCAAUUGAUGGCUUUGAGCCAGGCUGUGAGGCGGGUUUCACCAAAUUCAAUUACUGCCUUACUAAGCUUUUGAGACAUUCAAGGCUCAAGCUAAGGGAUGAGUGUUCAUGGGCGAGUAUUGGCCUCAAGAUUAGGCCCAAGGCAAGUAUACGCCAGACCAUAUGUUUGGGUGUUAUCCCUAUUAUUCAAGGAUUUUCAAGUUAUUUUUUACUAUGACGAAUGGGUGUUAACCUUUGGCAAUUUUUUGAAAAGAAUAAAUUGUUUAAGUCUUAAAAGAAGGUUGUAACUGAGUACAGGGUAUAUGGACACUUAGCAAAAACACAAAUGACAAACUAUAUUUUCAUUAAACACAAAAAGGUUACAUGUGAAAGAUAUCCUCAGACUCCCUCGCCCGAGUCUCCAUUACCUCGGUAUUCUCUACAUCAAUUACAUUAUCAGUAGAGACCCAACCGACAAGAGUAUCUUUAGCAUACUCCCCUUCCUCUUCAAUUUCGCCCUCCUCCUCGGGGAGGAUGUCGUCUAUCUAGAAAAAAUCCUCAAAAUGAAAACAAUUCACUAGCUCCUUCUUCACCCCUUGAACAAACAUUUCCUCACCUUGGGCCACUGUCUCCUUACUCUGAUAGAGGCAGCGUAGACUCCCUCAGCUUGCACCUGCAACUCCAAGACUUGGUGUUGCAGCAGGGCCACCUAAUCCUCGGCAGAUUUAGCCUGGUUCUUAAGCCUAGUUUGGAAGUAAGGGCCUCAUCAAGAUCAGCCUGAAGCUUGUCUAUAAACUCCAAGAUCUCCUUCAUGGUACCCUCAACUUCAGUGACCCGAGUCUUCAACCUUGAAUAUUCCUCGGCCAAGAGCCUCAUGUUCGUGUCAUUUGCACCAGACUCCCACCUUAAGGCUUUGUAUCGCUCCUUGGCAAUGUAAGUGCAGAGGGCACUCUCUAGUGCAUAAUGUAUAGAGUUUUCAAAAGAUCGUUUGUCUUGAGCUCAUUCAAGUGGCGCCGAUCCGCAAGCCUCAGAGCACCUCUGAUUAACAAAAGUCCCAGAGUGGGAUCGUAAAGGAGUAAGGGCGCUCGGCUUAGCGCCAAAGCCAAAUGUUGGAUGCUUGGAGGCCAGGAAGAUUCGACCCCAUCACUCAUAGGAGCAGGAAUGGAGGAGGUGGGGGCAUCAGCAGUAAGCCUAGGGGCUGGGGUAGAAUUAGAAGUGCCUAGGGGAGAAGCCUCAGGCUGUAGAUGGACUAACUCUUUCGUGGAGGGAGGGAGCGGGGGAGGGGGAAGCAUAAUAACCUCUUUUGAGGGGCGAGCAUGCUUUGAGGGGGGACUAGCAACCCCGGCAAUAGCCUUGCCUUUACAAGCAGCACGUGUCGCCUUAGUAAAUUUGCUUAAACCAGCCAUAUCUGCAAAGAAAAGGAAAAGUAAAUAAGAAAGACAGUUCGAAAAAUAAAAUAGAUAGAAAGAGAAGUAUCCUGAUCCCGAGCAUAGGAAGUGCCUUCACCAAGGCUGGGAAAGUUGGACGAGUGAGGACCUCAAGCCUAAUUUGCCUGCAGAUGGCUCUGCCAAGACAAGAUGACAUUCCUUAUCGCCUAUGUGAUGUCUAUUUUCUUUAGGGCUUUAGCCAUCGUUAAAAGCAAGGCUAAAGCUUCGUCUUCCUCUCUUCUCGGACAGGCCUCAUCAUUCUUCAAUUCUAUCCAACAAUACCAGCUCAUUUGGAGACACCUAAAACCCCCCGACAUCCGAUGGCGAAUGAUAAAAAAUUUAUUCUUUCACUAUUUCAAAAAGGAAGGCAUCCGGUAAAAAAUGAUUAAGUAUUUUCGGCUAUUGAAGUAACAAAAUUUUUUAUUUUUUACGGAUACCCAGUUGGUAAAACUAGAAAAAAAAGUGUUACACUUAAUUCAAAGUGAUUAUUGAGGCAGAUGAACUGAAAAAGCCAUGAGGAUUCUCCAAUUGUUGGGAUGCAGCUAGAAAAUCAAAAGCUUGUGAAAUUGAAGGACUUCUAUAAAAAAGUGUCCAAGGAGAAUCAUAGACUUACAUUCAUCUAUUUCUUAAAACCAAUGAUAGUCGUUGACACGGACGCGGAAAGAAAGAGUCAAGACCUAAAAAGUCUCUCGAGAAAUGUUGUAAGUAUCUACAAACGAUCUAAAUCGUGCUCUAAGAGGACAAACUUUUUAUCACGAAUAGCUGGGUUUGUUUAUACUAAAAUGGAAUGAUGAAAUCGUAAAUGCAGCAAAAAAUUUAGACAUUUAUUGAGUUUCUCAAAAACAGAGAGGCUAAAUUGUUAAUAAAAACAACACCUAGGGACGAAAACGCACAUUUUACCUAAACCCCACAAAUUGAUCGCGCGCUCUCUCUGUCUCUCCUCGCAAAUAUAGCGGUUAAAUCUCAAAGAUUGUCACUGGCAGAGAGUCCGAUUGGACGGCAGGGAUCGGUGCCGGGGAAAAUUGAAGACCGGGAAUACGACAAUGGCGUCCUCGUCCACUAGCGGUUUAACGUUCAAGCUACACCCACUUGUUAUAGUUAAUAUAUCCGAUCACUAUACUCGGGUUAAGUCUCAGAUAAACCCUCCCGUUCCCUCCACCGCUAAUACUGUUUCCAGCAACACCAACGGCGCCGGCGAUGGUGUCAGCACUGCUGUUUCAGCUGCAACGCGGCCAACGAGAGUCUAUGGAUGCGUUAUAGGAGUGCAGAGGGGACGCACCGUUGAGAUUUUCAAUAGUUUUGAACUUCUCUAUGAUCCCAUCACCCACUCUCUACACCGAGCUUUCCUUGAGAAGAAGCAAGAGCUCUGUAAUUUUCCUAUAUAACUUCCUUUUUUGGGGGAUUGUUAAUUUGUUUAAUUGUGGUGUGGUAGUUCCUAGGAUUCCAUAAAUUAAUUGAAAAUCUUGUGAUUCUAUUACAGAUAAGAAGGUUUUCCCUCAUUUUUACGUCUUGGGAUGGUAUUCAACGGGUAGUGAUGCUGAGGAAUCCGAUAUGCAUAUUCACAAGGCUGUAUGUUUUUUCCCUUCUCCUUUUUCUGAAUCAUGCCUUUUGUUGUUAAAUUAUUUUCAAUGUUUUUCUAAACGUUUUUAAAUUGAAAAUUCAGUAUAGUGAGGGAGGUAAUUUAUAGAAAUGGUGAUGUGAGAUGUGAAUAUACCUGGUUUUGCUACCCUCUUGUAGAGAAGCUGCUUGCGUUGCUUCAUGCUGCAGUUGGAUGUAAUACUGAUUUACUUAUUUGAGCCAAUUUAGAAUAAACAAAAUCUAAAGUUUUUUUCCUUUUCAAAUUGGG
RNAcentral lists this long non-coding RNA (8811 nucleotides) under Manihot esculenta (cassava). RNAcentral's name for it is "long non-coding RNA (MESC_LNC000034)". The record is from RNAcentral. Lineage: Eukaryota; Viridiplantae; Streptophyta; Magnoliopsida; Malpighiales; Euphorbiaceae.